Molecule: ribosomal RNA, 459 nt
Filed under: uncultured bacterium
Lineage: Bacteria
Description: partial 16S ribosomal RNA
Rfam family: Bacterial small subunit ribosomal RNA
Source: RNAcentral
CCUACGGGAGGCAGCAGUGAGGAAUAUUGGUCAAUGGGCGCGAGCCUGAACCAGCCAAGUCGCGUGAGGGAAGACGGUCCUAUGGAUUGUAAACCUCUUUUGUCGGGGAGCAAAAGACGCCACGCGUGGCGUUCCGAGAGUACCCGAAGAAAAAGCAUCGGCUAACUCCGUGCCAGCAGCCGCGGUAAUCCGGAGGAUGCGAGCGUUAUCCGGAUUUAUUGGGUUAAAAGGGUGCGCAGGCGGAAGAUCAAGUCAGCGGUAAAAGUGAGAGGCUCAACCUCUUCGAGCCGUUGAAACUGGUUUUCUUGAGUGAGCGAGAAGUAUGCGGAAUGCGUGGUGUAGCAGUGAAAUGCAUAGAUAUCACGCAGAACUCCGAUUGCGAAGGCAGCAUACCGGCGCUCAACUGACGCUCAUGCACGAAAGUGUGGGUAUCGAACAGGAUUAGAUACCCGGGUAGUC